AGAGUUUGAUCCUGGCUCAGGAUGAACGCUGGCGGCGUGCCUAACACAUGCAAGUCGAACGGUUCAAGCAAUUGGACAGUGGCGCACGGGUGAGUAACACGUAGCUAACCUGCCCCGAAGCGCGGGAUAACGCCGCGAAAGCGGCGCUAAUACCGCAUAAGCUCCCGACCUGUAGAGGGUUGGGCGAAAAGGCGCAAGUCACUUCGGGAGGGGGCUGCGACCCAUCAGCUCGUUGGUGAGGUAACGGCUUACCAAGGCGACGACGGGUAGGGGGCCUGAGAGGGUGACCCCCCACACUGGGACUGAGACACGGCCCAGACUCCUACGGGAGGCAGCAGUGAGGGAUAUUGCGCAAUGGGGGCAACCCUGACGCAGCGACGCCGCGGGGGGGAUGACGGCCUUCGGGUUGUAAAGCCCUUUUAGCACUGGCGAGAACAAGGACGGUAGGUGCUGAAGAAGUCUCGGCUAACUACGUGCCAGCAGCCGCGGUAAUAC
RNAcentral lists this ribosomal RNA (495 nucleotides) under uncultured bacterium. RNAcentral describes it as "bacterial SSU rRNA". It matches the Rfam family "Bacterial small subunit ribosomal RNA", at positions 8 to 526 of the family's 1533-position model. The record is from RNAcentral.